Molecule: non-coding RNA, 5775 nt
Organism: Schizosaccharomyces pombe (fission yeast)
Lineage: Eukaryota; Fungi; Ascomycota; Schizosaccharomycetes; Schizosaccharomycetales; Schizosaccharomycetaceae
Source: the annotation of a GenBank genome assembly
AACGAUUAUGCAAAAAAAAACACUAAAUUUAUUCCUCUUUGUCUAAACGAACUGCAGGGCUAGCCUCAAUUAGGUCCAAGUUAACCUUAGGACCAAUCAAUUGUCUAAUGUCGGCCACACCAUAUUUGAUCAUAGUGGGGCGCUCUAAAGAAAGACCAAAACCUAAACAACGAACAUCUUUAGGUAAUCCCAUAGGCUCUAACAUCUCCGGACGGAACAUGCCGCUGUUUCCGACUUCAACCCACUUACCAAGCUUUUCGUGGUAGGAAAAGACUUCCAAUGAAGGUUCAGUAUAAGGAUUAUAAGCAGGUUUGAAGCGCAAAUUUUUAACGUUCAUUUUUCCAAAGAACACCUCAAGGAAACCGAUCAAAUCACCGAGGGUAAUAUUUCUAUCGCAGAUUACGCCUUCGACUUGAUGAAAUUCGGCAAGAUGAGUUGCGUCAACGGUUUCAUUGCGGAAGACCCGAUCAAUUGAGAAGUAUUUAGCAGGGUGAAAGCCAUUUUGGGCAAGUUUGUACAACAUAUUCGCCGAGACAGCAGUAGUAUGAGUACGAAGAACUAGUUUACGAGUUUCCUCCAAGGAAAAGGGAGCACGGUAUCCAAUGCCCUUAGUCUCACCACCGUUUUCGUGAGUGGCCUUUACUCGAGCAACAUAUUCGGGAUCUGGCAAUUUAUCAGUAGAAGCAGGAACUUUCAAAAAGAAAGUAUCUUGAGCAUCCCUUGCUGAAUGUUGUUGGGGGACAAAUAAAGCAUCAAAGUUCCAAAAUCCACUUUCAACAAAAUUGUUGGUUGGCAUUUCUUCAAAACCCAAUUCGAAGAAAAAUUUACGGAAUUCUUCACGUACUUUCAUCAAAGGAUGAAGACAUCCACCAGCUGGAGGUAUACCUUCAGCUGCAAAGUUGUAAGAUUUAAACUUGGCACUUUCCCAUGAUCGAGAGGUGAUCAUCUCAGCAGUUAAAUCGGUGUUCAGUUUUUCAAUUUGAAGCGAGAAAUUUGGACCUUUCCUCAAAGAGAAGUACAUAAUUUUGUUACGUUCAACAAGCUUUCUCUUCUUCAAAUCAGUUAACGUCUUACUGUCAGAGAUAGUUCCAUGUUCCUUAAUUUCACUAAGGACCUUAGGGGUCUCAUCUGUAAUGGAAUCAGUCUGGUCAGUUAGUAAAUAAAAUAUUGCAUAACGUUAAAUCAAUUUGCACUACUAUAACUUUGCCUUACAUUUUUAACAAGCUUGUCUCCAUCUUUCUUAAUCCAACCGAGUUUAAAGGCUCUUCCUUGACCAAUACCAGCCGAAUUCCCCAAUUUUUUCUAAAUCAGUUAGAAAAAGUACAAAAAAACUAAAAGGCAGACGUAGCGAUAUGAAAAGGUGUUGCAUCAAAACGCGAAAAAUCGAAAAUGCAACAUAAUGCUAGAAAAAAAAAACUAACAAUAUUUACCGGGCGUUUAGACUUAAUUAUAUUUAAAUGCUUCGUCGUUCACAACUACGAUUCCAAUGACUUUACCUUGAGUUCCCCAAUAUUUAAACCGCUCAUAGAAGCGCAAAUUUCAUUAUAAACUUUGGCUUCAUGAGAACCAUUUGCGCAAAUGUUUUCACCCUCUGCAGUCAAAUUGUAAAUUUCAAUUUCAUGUCUUGAAAAUUCAAUCAUGUUUUUAGCAGCUAAUGACAAAAUCGCCGAUUGAGCUUCUUGAGGACCUAACUUCUUCCCAUCGAAUUCCAAAUGACUGGUGUUUGGAAUUUCAUUUUUUUCGUUUAGCUUUUCAAGCAGGAAAACUUGAAGGGCUUCAAGCUUUGACAUCUUACAGCUUUGUUGGUGUGUUGGCAGUAGGUAAAGUAACUGGCGAUACGCGAGUGCUACGGUGAAACGGUGAGCAUCGGAUUCAAAGCACUACACAUUAAGCCGUCGUUGACAAGUUUAUGUUUUAUGUACUACUAAAAUUUAUAUAUGGUAAGAGCAUACAAAUUAUGUCAGAUAGAAAAUGUUCGGGACAUCCUAAUUCAGAUUAUCCAUCUCUGUUUGAAAUCGCUGAUAUAGCUACGAUACUCUAACAACAUCACGAAAACAGUAAAAAACGUACUUAUGAGAAUUCUUUUAAUGUCAAUUAAAAAAAUUGAUCGAUUUAGUAUAAUUAAACUUGGUAAAGAAUAGAAAAUUAACAAAAAUGAAUAACAAAGAGUGAUUAUAGGCAUGUAUAGCCAGUUAGUGGUAAACAUUGAUUUACCCGACAAAGUUCAUCAUUUGAAGCCAAAAUAAAAUUGAGGGAUUAGCUUAUACAGCUGAAAAAGAGGUUUGGUGGGAGCAACCAUUGAUAUCGGAAUUCAACAAUAUUAUAGAAUAUAAACAAGGUGGAGAAAACCAAUGUAGCUUCGCAAAUUAGUUAUAUCAACAUUUGUUGCUUUAACGGGUGGAGAAUUGUGUCCGCUGGACGCUAAAUUCCGCAUCUUCGAUAGCCCGUAAAAUAUCUUUAAAGCAUUUGGCCGCAGAAAAGGCGAGAUCAGUCAGAGGGGGUACGGAGUUGUUGUCUGUAAAUCCAAAGUUUUCACCAUGUCCUUCUUGCUCAAUUAACUGCAUGCAAUAUCUUCGCAUUUCCUGAAGAGCGUUAUGAAUUACCGCGUACGCGGCACGAUCCCGCAUAAGUUCUAACGGUGAAGAUACAUCAAAAAGUGUGUCACGUAUAACGUUGAUGUCUUCAUGAACUCUUUGCUGGAUGGUAGACGAAGAACUAUCACUGCUAAUAGCAUCCAAAAGCUUUUGAUUGGUCUCACUAAAUUGUUUAGAUUUUUCGGAAAGCAAGGUUUUUGCAACAGAUAAUGCCUUCAAAUCGUCAACCGGAUGAAGUGAAUUUCUUCCGACCGAAAGAGAAGAUUUUCCCGUGUUGGUAAGUCCAUAGGUUUUUGCAAUGUCCAUAAGACUGAUACUUAUAGAGCAAGCAGAAGCAUCGACGUGAUAAAUGGGAAGUAAGGCACCAUUUAUUACAGCGAGUCUUACUUGCUCCAUUAAACUAUUUGUGAACGAACAUAAAUCAUCAACCUUUUUUCCUAAAUCGGGAAGCUCUUCUAAAAGCGACUUCUCCCGCAAACUGGAAACAAUGGCUUCCAAAGUCAAAGCAAUAUCCUUAGCAGUAGACAUCCACUGAGAAGGGCUAUCCCUUCUUAAAGAUGCCACAAAGACAUUCAUUUCAACGAAAUAACGAAUAUAAAGCUGUUCAUCUAAAAAUCCAUUGGGUGAAAUCAGUUCCCGAAUAGACUUCAUUGGAACAGUAGUCAUGGUAAACAAUCUUAUAUCUUCGUCAAUUUUUGCGGACUUCGCGUUGAUAGCAACCUUUUUCCAGCGUUCCGUUUCGGCCUUCAAGGAGUCAAUACAGCUUUCCAAUUCGACAAUGUGCUGGGUUUUUGAAGAUUCGGCAACAAUCAAUUCUUGCAUUAGCUUUAGGUUUUUUUCCAACUCAGGAUUAAAACUAAGCGUUGGGUUGUUUUCGAGCUCUUUUAUUCGAUUUUCAGCAUCGUUUAGCUUUUUUAUUGAAAUUUCAGCCUCAUGGGAUGCCUCAUGAAGCUUUUCCUCCAAUUGAAAGAUUUCAUUCUUAUGUUUCGUAGCAUCAGAAAUGCUUUUGGCUUUUAAAGCCUCCAUUUCAGAUUUUGAGCUGUCAAGCAAAGAGUUCGAUUUUGCCAAACUACUUUCCAACAUCUCAAUUCUACUCAAGUAAUUUGACGAAGAAUCAAUUCCCGUCUGAGCACCCUGGCUCAAUGACGAGGUAGAGGAAUUAUUUGCUUGAACAGUAUUUAAAGCAUUGGUAUCUGGAACAUUCGGUAGACGAUGAGACAAGGAAGUAGGAGAAUCAGUAUGCGUUCUAUUAGCAUAACUUGGUAUAGUGGGAGAGCUUGUGGUUCUUUGUUCAGUUGGAUGAAGGGAAGCGGAAGAGGCGUUGGCACUGCUAUACAGAUCGUGCUUGGGAGCGGAAGCAGGUAAACGUUGCACCUGAGGAGGAGGCUGAGAAGCAGCUCUAGUCAUGUUUGGUGGUGUAUUUGAAGAAACUUCUUUUAAAGCACCACUAUAUCUUGAUUGAACUUCAAAAAACACAUCCAUACAAAGAUCCCGAAGCCUUGUAGGAGCAAGACUAGAAAGUUUUUGUCGAGCAUGAUUCCGCUUGGGAUGAUAAGAAUCAACAGGAGGUAAGAAUCUGACUAUAAGGGGUUAGAAUUGUAGACUCAUAAGAGUGUAAAUCAAAAUACCUUUGGGAUCAUUGUUGAUCCUACGCUGUAGUUCAUCAGCAACGUCUGUUAAAAGUUCACUGAACUGAAUAUGAGACAAACGCUGAAGCUUUUCACGUGGCCUCGCAUUGGCGUUCCUUAGGGCUGGGUCUAUAAAAUAGCGUUAGAGGUGAUUACAUUGUUUCCGUGGGUCAAAGCAAUUGUACAGCUUAAUUUUAAACCAAUUUUUAACAUACCUUUAACAAAUUCAGGCUCUAAGUAACGAGCUAAAAACCGAUAUUGACGAAUAAUAAUACUUUGCAUAGUUUGAAAGCAAAUUUAAGACUAGGGAUUUGAGGAAAGAAGUUGGAAAAAAUGAGCUUUCUAUCUUUUUCAGGGAAUUAAAUGAUAUGUCCUUUCUUUUACGCUGACUUGAAAAAGAUAGACUGUGUAAAUUAACUUAAGGCAGUUGUACUAAUACAAUGGGCAAGGACGUGCUGGACCCUAAAUUAAUUUGAUAUAAUUUUUCUGUGAAUUAAAUUUUUAAAGAAAAAGUCUUUAAAAUGCCUAAUGUACUGCCAAACACAUUAACAGGCAAACGAGUGCGAAGAGAAAUCUUCUAUCUAAAAAUAUUACUGACAGCUUUGCGUCCUUGCCAAUUUACUGUGUUUAUUACUUAGAACGUUGUAGAUAUACUAGGAGAAAGGACAUGCUUUAUUAAAUUCGAUAACGACGUGUAACGAUAAAUGAUAUUAAAAAAAAUGAAUAGUAUACAAUACAGGAAGUUUAGGAUGGUUAGAUUGAAAGUCGGCCAUUAUAGAAGGGAACAGCUCUUCCAAUUUAUCCUGUGCCUCGGUUAAUUUGUUGACUAAAUCGAGAAUGGCCUUUCCACCUACGCUGGCCUCCUCAUGGUUAUCUUUAAUGUCAACGUUUAUUAAGUACACAGGUCGAUUCAAUGUUUCACCUCGACGAUACAGAUCCUCACAAAUGGCAUCAUAACAUCUUUCUUCGCAGGUUAUUACAAUGUUGUAUAUGGAAUCUUGGUCCUGCCACCGACAAGGAGCGCGCUUUAUACGGCGAUUUCGGUCAAGCAUUUUAAGCAAUCCAUUGGCCGUGUAUAGCCGGGAAUCCUGGGCCUCGAGCUCUUUAUAAAUUUCAUCAUAUGGAUACCCAAAUUGAUAAAUGUUAGGUUUGUCAAUACUGGGACCCGGCAACCGUACAGCUGAACCUGUUCCGAACGAAUCAACUUGGUAUCCAGCAUUCCUUCAAUGGAGAUUAGCAAACUACCUCAUAAAAUUCAAAAAUGACAUACUUUAAGACGUUGUGAGCUUCCAUACUUCGAUUUUGGUUCGAAGCACAAAUUACACUGAUCUGGAGGUUGGUUUUGGGAGCCAUUAUUUGGUAUUAUUGUUUACUGACUAACGUUGGUAAGGCUUUAAAAGGUUUUACUUUCCUUUCUUUAUUAUUGCAAGAUUUUUAUCUUACUAAAUUAGACAUACAGCCAAAGGUCCAAACUCGUUCUUUGCAGUGUAUACAAUAUGACACGCUGUAAGCAACAGCCUUUCAAAAUUACCACGCUGCUUUACGAUGCGAUA